GAUGAAGAACGUAGCGAAAUGCGAUAAGUAAUGUGAAUUGCAGAAUUCAGUGAAUCAUCGAAUCUUUGAACGCACAUUGCGCCCGUCAGUAUUCUGGCGGGCAUGCCUGUUCGAGCGUCAUUUCAACCAUCAAGCCCCCGGCUUGUGUUGGGGACCUGCGGCUGCCGCAGGCCCUGAAAACCAGUGGCGGGCUCGCUAGUCACUCCGAGCGUAGUAAUACAUCUCGCUCAGGGCGUGCUGCGGGUUCCGGCCGUUAAAAAAGCCUUAUUUACCCAAGGUUGACCUCGGAUCAGGUAGGAAGACCCGCUGAACUUAAGCAUAUCAAUAAGCGGAGGA
This 336-nucleotide unclassified non-coding RNA is filed under the name soil metagenome. RNAcentral describes it as "partial contains 5.8S ribosomal RNA, internal transcribed spacer 2, and large subunit ribosomal RNA". The stretch from base 1 to 120 matches the Rfam family "5.8S ribosomal RNA", at positions 35 to 154 of the family's 154-position model. The record is from RNAcentral.